CCCAGAAAUCAAGUAUACUCUCAUGACGACUUUAUCAUCUGAUGUGUCUCCACUACAGACAUUUGAAUUUGAACAACCACUGAGGAGCCCAGGUUCCAGGCACCACAGUCAUUUCUGAUGAGACUCUCAACUAUACAGAGUAGGCCUAUCAUCUGUGGAGUCAAGCGUCCUCAAGAGGCACAAGAAGGCUCCUGUGGAUCCUCUGAAAACCCCUCUUUAUGUCUGAG
Molecule: long non-coding RNA, 227 nt
Filed under: Rattus norvegicus (Norway rat)
Lineage: Eukaryota; Metazoa; Chordata; Mammalia; Rodentia; Muridae
Description: long non-coding RNA NONRATT033230
Source: RNAcentral